ACUGAGUUUGUAUCCUGGCUCAGAUUGAACGCUGGCGGCAUGCCUUACACAUGCAAGUCGAACGGCAGCACGGGUGCUUGCACCUGGUGCGAGUGGCGAACGGGUGAGUAAUACAUCGGAACGUACCUUAUCGUGGGGGAUAACGGCAGCGAAAGUUGCGCUAAUACCGCAUACGCCCUGAGGGGGAAAGCGGGGGACCUAAGGCCUCGCGCGAUUAGAGCGGCCGAUGUCUGAUUAGCUUGUUGGUGAGGUAAAAGCUCACCAAGGCGAUGAUCAGUAGCUGGUCUGAGAGGACGAUCAGCCACACUGGGACUGAGACACGGACCAGACUCCGUACGGGA
Molecule: ribosomal RNA, 341 nt
Filed under: uncultured Polynucleobacter sp.
Lineage: Bacteria; Pseudomonadati; Pseudomonadota; Betaproteobacteria; Burkholderiales; Burkholderiaceae
Description: bacterial SSU rRNA
Rfam family: Bacterial small subunit ribosomal RNA
Source: RNAcentral